Molecule: ribosomal RNA, 241 nt
Filed under: Drypis spinosa
Lineage: Eukaryota; Viridiplantae; Streptophyta; Magnoliopsida; Caryophyllales; Caryophyllaceae
Source: RNAcentral
UNNAAACCUGCCCAGCAGAAUGACUAGCGAACAAGUUUUAYCCAUYGCAGNCGUAGGAUCGACGGUUGGCGACUAGCUCGCCUUCCGCCACCUCGCUUGANNNGGGCAGCMGCACWUGUGNCGGGUGCWUCGGCACAUCAACGAACCCCGACGUGAAAAACGUCAAGAAACAUUAAGUCAAUGUGUGCAACGCGCUUUGCCCGGGCAACCGGUGCACUGUACGAUGCCAUGUCAUACAAUA